UUCCCAUCAUGGCCUGGGCCCCUCUGCUCCUCGCGCUGCUCACUUACUGCUCAGGGGUCAGUUCGCAGCCCGUGGUGACUCAGGAGCCCUCGAUGUCGGUGACUCCAGGAGGGGCUGUCACUCUGUCCUGCAGCCUGAGCACUGGAGCCGUCACCACCAGCAACUAUCCAGCCUGGUACCAGCAGAAACCAGGCUCUGCUCCUCGGCAGCUUAUAUACAGCACCAAUACCAGACCCUCCGGGAUCCCUGCCCGGUUCUCUGGGUCCAUAUCCGGUAACAACGCUGCCCUGACCAUCACCGGUGUCCAGGCAGAGGAUGAGGCUGACUAUUACUGUGCUGUGUGGUAUGUCAGUGGCACUGUGACUCACAAAGUAGGACCUGAUGGCCCAGCUGCCGUAGGUCGUCAAGACCAGUGCUGCUGA
Non-coding RNA from Malaclemys terrapin pileata, 422 nucleotides. Lineage: Eukaryota; Metazoa; Chordata; Testudines; Emydidae. The record is from the annotation of a RefSeq genome assembly.